RNAcentral lists this ribosomal RNA (1386 nucleotides) under uncultured bacterium. RNAcentral describes it as "bacterial SSU rRNA". It matches the Rfam family "Bacterial small subunit ribosomal RNA". The record is from RNAcentral.
AGAGUUUGAUCCUGGCUCAGGAUCAUUGCUGGCGGCAUGCCUAAUACAUGCAAGUCGAACGAGGGUCCUUCGGGACUCGAGUGGCGAACGGGUGAGUAACACGUAGGGAACCUGCCCGUGCGACCGGGAGAACUUUCGGAAACGGAAGCUGAUACCGGAUAGGGACAGAGACGGCAUCGACUCUGUGUUAAAGGAGCUGAAAGGCUCCGCGCACGGAUGGACCUGCGGUGCAUUAGCUAGUUGGUGAGGUAACGGCCCACCAAGGCGACGAUGCAUAGCCGGCCUGAGAGGGCGGACGGCCACACUGGGACUGAGACACGGCCCAGACUCCUACGGGAGGCAGCAGUAGGGAAUUUUCGUCAAUGGGCGCAAGCCUGAACGAGCAAUGCCGCGUGAACGAGGAAGGUCUUCGGAUCGUAAAGUUCUGUUGAAGGGGAAAAAGAGCGGAGAGAGGAAAUGGUCUCCGAUUGAUAUUACCCUUCGAGGAAGUCACGGCUAACUACGUGCCAGCAGCCGCGGUAAUACGUAGGUGGCGAGCGUUAUCCGGAAUGAUUGGGCGUAAAGGGUGCGUAGGCGGCCUGCUAAGUCUGGAGUGAAAGGUACCGGCUCAACCGGUACAGGCUCUGGAAACUGGCGGGCUAGAGAGCAGGAGAGGGCGGUGGAACUCCAUGUGUAGCGGUAAAAUGCGUAGAUAUAUGGAAGAACACCAGUGGCGAAGGCGGCCGCCUGGCCUGUUACUGACGCUGAGGCACGAAAGCGUGGGGAGCAAAUAGGAUUAGAUACCCUAGUAGUCCACGCCGUAAACGAUGAGGACCAAGUGUUGGGGAAGACCCAGUGCUGCAGUUAACGCAGUGAGUCCUCCGCCUGGGGAGUAUGCACGCAAGUGUGAAACUCAAAGGAAUUGACGGGGGCCCGCACAAGCGGUGGAGUAUGUGGUUUAAUUCGAAGCAACGCGAAGAACCUUACCAGGCCUUGACAUAGGGUGCGAAGCUGUGGAGACAUAGUGGAGGUAAACAUCCAUACAGGUGGUGCAUGGUUGUCGUCAGCUCGUGUCGUGAGAUGUUCAGUUAAGUCUGGCAACGAGCGCAACCCUCGUGAUGUGUUACCAAUAUCGAGUUAGGGACUCACAUCAGACUGCCGGUGAGAAACCGGAGGAAGGCGGGGAUGACGUCAAAUCAUCAUGCCCCUUAUGGCCUGGGCUACACACGUACUACAAUGGCGGCGACAGAGGGCAGCGAGCCUGCGAAGGCAAGCGAAUCCCAAAAAAGCCGUCCCAGUUCGGAUUGGAGUCUGCAACCCGACUCCAUGAAGUUGGAAUCGCUAGUAAUCGCGGAUCAGCGUGCCGCGGUGAAUACGUUCCCGGGCCUUGCACACACCGCCCGUCAA